CAGCUCUCCGAGUGGUAGGGAUGAUUAUUGGGCUUAAAGCGUCCGUAGCCGGCUUAGCAAGUCUCCUGUUAAAUUCAGCGACCUAAUCGUUGAGCCGCGGGAGAUACUACUAGGCUAGGAGGCGGGAGAGGCCGACGGUACUUCCGGGGUAGGGGUGAAAUCCUAUAAUCCCGGGCGGACCACCAGUGGCGAAGGCUGUCGGCUAGAACGCGCUCGACGGUGAGGGACGAAAGCUGGGGGAGCGAACCGGAUUAGAGACCCGAGUAGUCC
RNAcentral lists this ribosomal RNA (270 nucleotides) under uncultured archaeon. RNAcentral describes it as "partial 16S ribosomal RNA". It matches the Rfam family "Archaeal small subunit ribosomal RNA", at positions 477 to 747 of the family's 1478-position model. The record is from RNAcentral.